RNAcentral lists this long non-coding RNA (675 nucleotides) under Gallus gallus (chicken). Lineage: Eukaryota; Metazoa; Chordata; Aves; Galliformes; Phasianidae. The record is from RNAcentral.
CGCGCCGGUUGGGCUGCAUGGACUCCCCCCGGCGGCUGCCCCCAUCCCGCAGGCUGGGCGGGACGUAUUUGCCCGUCUUGCUCUGCUGUGCCUGGACCGGCUCCGGUUCCCCUGGCAGUUUCUCCUUCUCCCCCGUGGACAGCCCCAGCUGCUCGGCCAGCUCCUUCUGCAUGGGCCCCAGCGUGUCCUUGUAGGGGCAGCGCGUGGUCCAAUGGUCGCCCUUACAGAUCCGGCACGAGACGAUCUUCUGGCCCUUCAGUUUGUUCAUGGGGUCCUCCUCCUCCUGGCAGUUCAGGUCCUCUUUGCUGGUGAUGAAGGUCAUGAAGACGUCGUCGCUGACUGUGGUGGUGGCAACGUUGGGGCCGGGAGCGUCGAACUCCGAGUUGCCAAAUUUCUUCCAGUUCUUACGCCGCGCCACCGCUUUGGAGGCCUUCCUGGUUUCGAUGCGGAAGGUGCGGAUGAUCUUCACCUUCCGGCCGUCCUCCUCCUCACGGUACUCAGUGAUGGUUUUGAUGUUCCCAUUGAUCAGCUCCUUUGGGGAGGGCAGUGGGCCGUCUUCUCCUCCCUCCUCCUCCACCUGAUCCGCCCAGCUGGGCUUGGAGUCGUAGUCCCCCGUCGGCAUCGCGCUGCCCUCUCCCUCACGCGUCCCCACCGGAAGGAGGCGCUUCACUUCCG